RNAcentral lists this ribosomal RNA (457 nucleotides) under uncultured bacterium. RNAcentral's name for it is "bacterial SSU rRNA". It matches the Rfam family "Bacterial small subunit ribosomal RNA", at positions 272 to 721 of the family's 1533-position model. The record is from RNAcentral.
GGCGACGAUCCCUAGCUGGUCUGAGAGGAUGACCAGCCACACUGGAACUGAGACACGGUCCAGACUCCUACGGGAGGCAGCAGUGGGGAAUAUUGCACAAUGGGCGCAAGCCUGAUGCAGCCAUGCCGCGUGUGUGAAGAAGGCCUUCGGGUUGUAAAGCACUUUCAGCGGGGAGGAAGGCGUUAAGGUUAAUAACCUUAGCGAUUGACGUUACCCGCAGAAGAAGCACCGGCUAACUCCGUGCCAGCAGCCGCGGUAAUACGGAGGGUGCAAGCGUUAAUCGGAAUUACUGGGCGUAAAGCGCACGCAGGCGGUCUGUCAAGUCGGAUGUGAAAUCCCCGGGCUCAACCUGGGAACUGCAUUCGAAACUGGCAGGCUAGAGUCUUGUAGAGGGGGGUAGAAUUCCAGGUGUAGCGGUGAAAUGCGUAGAGAUCUGGAGGAAUACCGGUGGCGAAGG